CGCAAGCCUGACGGAGCAACGCCGCGUGAGGGAUGAAGGCCUCUGGGCUGUAAACCUCUUUUCUCAAGGAAGAAGAACUGACGGUACUUGAGGAAUAAGCCACGGCUAAUUCCGUGCCAGCAGCCGCGGUAAUACGGGAGUGGCAAGAGUUAUCCGGAAUUAUUGGGCGUAAAGCGUCCGCAGGCGGUCUUGAAAGUCUGUUGUUAAAGCGUGGAGCUCAACUCCAUUCCAGCAAUGGAAACUAGAAGACUAGAGUGUGGUAGGGGCAGAAGGAAUUCCUGGUGUAGCGGUGAAAUGCGUAGAUAUCAGGAAGAACACCGGUGGCGAAGGCGUUCUGCUAGGCCAAGACUGACACUGAGGGACGAAAGCUAGGGGAGCG
This 379-nucleotide ribosomal RNA is filed under the name uncultured cyanobacterium. RNAcentral describes it as "bacterial SSU rRNA". It matches the Rfam family "Bacterial small subunit ribosomal RNA", at positions 376 to 770 of the family's 1533-position model. The record is from RNAcentral. Lineage: Bacteria; Bacillati; Cyanobacteriota.